AGUAACGGCGAGUGAAGCGGCAACAGCUCAAAUUUGAAAUCUGGCCCCCGGGUCCGAGUUGUAAUUUGUAGAGGAAGCUUUUGGUGCGGUACCUUCCGAGUUCCCUGGAACGGGACGCCAUAGAGGGUGAGAGCCCCGUCUGGUCGGAUACCAAUCCUCUGUAAAGCUCCUUCGACGAGUCGAGUAGUUUGGGAAUGCUGCUCUAAAUGGGAGGUAUAUGUCUUCUAAAGCUAAAUACCGGCCAGAGACCGAUAGCGCACAAGUAGAGUGAUCGAAAGAUGAAAAGCACUUUGAAAAGAGAGUUAAAAAGUACGUGAAAUUGUUGAAAGGGAAGCGCUCAUGACCAGACGUGGGCUUGGUUGAUCAACCUGGGUUCUCCCCGGUGCACUCUUCCUCGCCCAGGCCAGCAUCAGUUUGCUUCGGGGGAUAAAGGCGUCGGGAAUGUGGCUCCCCCGGGAGUGUUAUAGCCCGUCGUGCAAUACCCUGCGGCAGACUGAGGUUCGCGUUCCGCAAGGAUGCUGGCGUAAUGGUCAUCAGCGACCCGUCUUGAAACACGGACCAAGGAGUCGUCUUCGUAUGCGAGUGUUCGGGUGUUAAACCCCUACGCGAAAUGAAAGUGAACGUAGGUGAGAGCUUCGGCGCAUCACCGACCGAUCCUGAUGUUCUCGGAUGGAUUUGAGUAAGAGCAUACGGGGCCGGACCCGAAAGAAGGUGAACUAUGCCUGUAUAGGGUGAAGCCAGAGGAAACUCUGGUGGAGGCUCGCAGC
RNAcentral lists this ribosomal RNA (767 nucleotides) under Campylocarpon amazonense. RNAcentral's name for it is "partial large subunit ribosomal RNA". It matches the Rfam family "Eukaryotic large subunit ribosomal RNA", at positions 82 to 881 of the family's 3401-position model. Lineage: Eukaryota; Fungi; Ascomycota; Sordariomycetes; Hypocreales; Nectriaceae. The record is from RNAcentral.